AGUUUAGAUAUUGUUUCAUGGUGUCCAUCCAUCUUUACAGUCCCUCAGUCAAAUCUCUCCACUCUCACCACUUCAUCAACCACACCUGCAGACACCACCACCAAAGUUUCAGACUCCUCACACACACGUUCCUCUUCACUCUCACUCCCAUACUCCACCUUGCAACAACAAAACACCAACACCACUGCAGCAACUCAACCAGACACCACCUCGCCACCAAACACCACAAUCACACCUCUCACCUCCACGCAACCCAACUCAACCUUACACACAUUCACCAGCAUCACGG
RNAcentral lists this long non-coding RNA (289 nucleotides) under Sinocyclocheilus grahami. Its description in RNAcentral is "lncRNA (ENSSGRG00000005696.1)". Lineage: Eukaryota; Metazoa; Chordata; Actinopteri; Cypriniformes; Cyprinidae. The record is from RNAcentral.